RNAcentral lists this long non-coding RNA (7115 nucleotides) under Phaseolus vulgaris (common bean). Its description in RNAcentral is "long non-coding RNA (PVUL_LNC002818)". Lineage: Eukaryota; Viridiplantae; Streptophyta; Magnoliopsida; Fabales; Fabaceae. The record is from RNAcentral.
UUUUUAAAAAGUUUUAUCUCAUUUUAAGUGAACUAGUUUAUAUAUAUUGUUUUAAUAUAAACAUUUUACAUAAGUUAUUGUAUAUUUUAUAAUAAUUAAUAAAUUGGUGUAGAUAUUAUCCAUAUAUAAGGUGAGGAUAUUGGUUGAUAAGUAUAUAGAAAUUGAGUUUUUACAUGUAGAACACAAUUUAUGUAGAAUGUGUCACUUUUACAUUAGUUUUACUAUAUGGGUAAAAAAAAAGUGUAAAAAUGGUUAAUAUAUCAAAACCUAAAACACGAGAAACAAGAAUUGAAGAGAAAAAUUGAAGUGCACAUAUGAUAUUAAAAUAGAUUUGAAACAAAGAUAUGUGUAGUGGAAGCUGUCAAAGUUGGAAAAAAGAGUAAUUUCAAUAAUGUGACACUAAUUUUUCACCAUUUUCAUCUCAAUAAGGACGAAAACCAAAUGUUGGAGACUCCACAUCGACUAAAAUUAGAGCAUUUCAUUGUAUAUAAAUGAGUGCAAAUCUCAACCUUAUAAGCUGGUUUUAUGGGGUUGAGUUAAAUUUAAAAUCCACUUUGUAAUACCAAAAAUAAAUAUGUUAUUUCUUCCAUAAUGAACCUUGUUUUUCAUUAAAAGAAUAACAAUUUUCUUGAAACGUUGUUUGUUGUCACGUAACAACAAAGUAAUUACAUCUGACACUCUUUGUAAUAAGCUUGAAGAUCCAUUGCACAAGCUCAUAUAAGGCAAAACUUACUACAAUCACAGUUUUUUCUUAACUCAUAAGAUUCAAAGCAAUUUGCAAGAGGACAAUGAAGUCUUAAGAUUUAAAAAAUGGUGAAUAAAAAAGAAAAACAACAGUUUUUUAUAAAGUGUUGAUUAUGGAUGUUGAAAAUUGUGUCUUUUCAAAGAUACACUAGAUCAAUCUACUUUUUCUUUUACUGUUUGGUUCAUACUUGUUGAAGAAAUUUUCUUCACCAAACAAGCUCAUAAAUAGUAUAUAUUUUGAUCAACUGUAGCCAAAAGUCAUUGUUGUUGAAUGGUCAAAACUGCACCGCAGACUUCGCGUAUAAGAAAUCUUCAUGCUGUUCUGCCAGAGAAGCUAGCCUCAUAGAUUGGUUUCUUUUCCAACAACAUAAUAAUACUUCAUGUCUCUGCCUUCAACCAACUCUCAUGCACAACUACUUCUCACACUGCAAGGGACAAAAAGUUUUACUAGCUUUUUACUCUUACUUCUUUUCAACAUUUCUCCUGUAGCACUGUUUUUCUUCUUCUAUGACUGCUAUUUUCCAAUUCAAUGCAUCAUAUAGUCUAAUUCCUCUAGUCAAACUGUCAGACUGUUAUGGAUAAUUCUCAAUGGAAUAGAAACUAAUUAUCAUGUAAUUGUUGAGUGUUUUGUAAUGUGUUUGUGGAAUUUUGGUUGUGUUAGGAGAUGGUUUGUGUGUAUUGUUUUGACUAAAGACCGGUUAUAAGGAUUCUGAUAGGGUAGAUGAUGAUUUUUGUUGAUUUGACUUUCAAUUGAGGAUUGGUUUGGUAGUUUGCAUGGUCUAAAGUAUGUUUGUGUGUCAAGUGGGCAAGUUGACCUUGGUUAUUUUCUGAAUAAGAAUUGAAACAUCUCUAAAGUAUCUGUAUAAGGGUUGAGACACCCUGAAGUGUCUCAUUUUAUUUUAUUUAUUUUUUGUUGAUAAAAAAAAUCAACUUGUUUUCUGAUAGAAUUAGUAUAGAACUGUUAAAUACAUAAAAAAAUGUGAAUGGUAGUGUGAGAUAUUCAAUAACAACACCAUAUGGAGGCAUAUACCAAAUUUUGUCUGCUAAUACAAAGUGAAUCAGAAGAAUGAAGGAAUAAAAAAAGUUCUCUGUUUACAAAGUUAUGGACUGAAGGGAGGAUAAGUGCAUGUAAAUUUGUGUGAAUCUUCUGAUAUCUCUGCUAAAUUCCUAUGAAUUGAAAAGAUAGAUACCAGAAGGGUUCUUGUAGGAACUAGAGAUUCAAUUAUAGUGUUGGCUAAUGGUAAAAUUGUACUAGAUGUCAUUUCAAUGCUACCAAAGUGAACAGAAUGAAAUUGAUUGAAAGUGAUCUUGAUGUUACAAAAUUUAUAUGAAACCAUUCAACAAGGGUGAGGUCUGUAGUCAUGCUCAAUUAUGGGUGUGGUUCGAGUGCCAUGUGCAGUAGGAGCUCUCACAUGUCCAACCAUUGACACCUGAAGGGCUUCUUCUUCAUAGGCCCUUCUCUCCAUCUCCACCAUCCUUGAUCUCUUCUUCACCCUAACUAGCAUGGCCACAAGAAGAAGGCCUAAGAGAAAAGCUCCCAAAGCAGCACCAAUGGUACUCCCAACAGCCACUUUCCACCUACUUAUAGGCCUGUUCCUGAACUCAUCUGGUGGGGACUCCACAACCAAACCAAAAUGGCCAUGCCUCUUUGCAACACAAACAAGUGGUGUUGAAGGGUUGCCCUUUGCUAGUGUCAUUCUUCCAUCACCUUCAAAGCUAGCACACAAGGGCUUCAUCCCAUCUUCCUUGCUCAACUUUGUGGUGUUUGUGAAGUCAAUUGUCAUUGCUCUUUCUCCAGCCACAAUCCCAAGUUGGAAAGGGUUGCUUGAGUUUGCAUCAUCAUCAGCAUUGUAGGCCAGAAGCCCCACAAUUGGAGACACAAGCUGGUACCCUGAUAGAUCAUAGUUAGCAUAAUAGAUAGAAGACCAAUUGUGGCCCAUGUUUUGUCUGAUCAACAUCACCCUCUCAAUACAUGGAUGAACAGUUACACCAGUACCAAGAUGGAAUUCCUUCAACUCUGCACCAUACCUUCUCAAACUUCCACACCUAAACCUCACAGCAUCAACUCCAAUGCCUGAAAGAUUUGCAGGUAAGUCCACUGACUGUGGUAUUGCUGUCCUCAAGUUCUUGUCCAAUAGUACCUUGAACGUGUGAUCUCUUAUGAUGAGGUCAAGAACAUGAGCUGACUUCACACUCUGACCCUCAGAUCCCGAAAAUGUAAAAGACACCCAGGAAAAUGUCAUCAAAAACAGACCAAAAGCAGAGUCCAUGAGAGAAAAAAUCCUAGAAUAUUGUUCCCAAGGUAACAACAGUCCUUGUUCUGUUGCAAUCCUUGAAAUUGUGGUCAGUUUGGUCACAAUCUUUGCUAUUGCAAUGAAAUUGCAGACAAAUGUGGUGCUGCUAUCACAAUUGUCGUGACCAGAUCCUAAAACCUUGAAAUUAUUUUGAAAAACUCGAUUAUUAUAGCACUAACAAUGUGUCUAGGUGAACCCCUUUUGGCUGGUAUUCUCUAGCUACAACACCAAAAGUAAAAAGCACUGAUAUUUGUUUUUCUCCUAAGGAAAGACCAUGUUUUUUUUUUCCUGUGGAAUGAGUUCCAAAGAAUAAAGAUUGUGGAGUGGUAAUAGAUGAGAAGGAUAAUAAGGGUAGUAGCAGUAGUAGACACCAGAUGAAGGAAAUGGAAAAGGGUAAAGCAGAAAAGUACUUGUUCUUGGAGAUGUUCCCUCAACAGAACUCAGACAUGGUGUUGUUGAAGUGAUGUAAGUGGCACAGUGAAAUUGAAUGAGAAUAAAAAUGUAGAGAUUUAUUGAAGGCAAAGAAGAAUGGGAGAAAAGUGGUGUUGGAGAUCCAUGUAUGAAUGUGGCAUUGAGAAGAAAGAAAAGGGUAAGAAGAAAUGAUUCUUGGGCGUGGAAUGAUGAUGACAGUUCAUGGUGAAAUAAGAAAAAUGGGAAAAGAAAUGAAGGGGUUGGGGAGAGGGGUUUAAGCGUGCUGAGAAAUGAAACUAAAGCAUCGUUGUUGUGCAUGGGGUCCAAUAACACUGAUUGUGUUGGCUGUAACAUGCCAUGUUCCCCACUUGUUGCACUCAAUGCCUCUAAUGUUAGGCUUAGCACACACAUGAACAUCACCUUUCCAAACUCAAAAAUCCAAACCCCUUUUCCAUUUUUAUCUUUAAAUUUCGAAACCAUAUUAAAAAGGCUCAAUCUUUUCAAAACUAGUAUUAAUAGUUAUAAAACUAAGAUUUGUAUCUAAUUAUAUAUAAAGUAUUUUUUAUUCGUAAUUCACGUGAGAUUUUCAAUACAAAAUAUUAUAUGAUUGGAUGAUUAACAAGUUAAUUUAAUCAAACCAUGAUUUGGAGGAGCAAUUCAGCCAUCACUGAUUCCUGCAUUACUGAUACAGACCAUUACUUUUCUCGUCCCAUCAUUACAGACUCAGAACACUUGAUUAGUAUCAACAAGAUCACAUUUAAGAAAAUGAGGUUUUUAAUACUAAUUUAUCUUGGUAAAUACGUCUGGUCAAUAGCUGUUUUUAAGAAAGAUUUAAAUUGAAUAAUGUCCGAAUGAUUUGAUCUGAAUUGAGCUCAUUAAAAUUUAUCUUGUAUAAAAAAUAAUUAAUAUCAUUAAUGAAUAUUUUCUUUUUAAUAUAAUUUUGAUUUAAUAUACAAUUUAUCAUAUGAUUAAGAUGGCUUCAGUUUUGUUGUAAAGUUUUUAAAAUUGUUAAUUAAUAAAAAAAGGAGGAUUACGAGGGCGUAAGCCCCGUUCGGUUAGUCAAGUUGACCAUGUGAAUGACUGUGAAUCGGCCAAAUUCUCAGGUGGGAAUUGCAUAGGCUCCACACGUGUCUCAGCCCCAAAUCCCAACUCUAAGAUACCCAUUACAGGGCCUGCAUUGCUGCAGAGAAGGCCCGGGGACUUUCCUGAGCCCAGCAAUUAGCAUGGGCCCAAUCACAUCGCCUCAUAAUCCAGUGGUAACACUUAGCGUAGUCAGAUGGUAUAUAAAGAUGUUUAAAGUCACACUUUCUAUCGAUGUGGGACAUUUUCAAUGCACUUCUAAAGAGAGAUUAAAUAAUUUAAGCAAUCUUUCGAGUGAUGAUAUUUUGACACCAACUCCACUUUACGUUCACAACAAAAUAUUAAUAUUUAUAAUAACAAAAAUUUAAAAAUAUAAAAAUCUUUUCAAUAAAAAUAUAAAAAAAAUAAAAAAUAUUAAAAUAAUUUUUAAAAUUAAAAAAUUAUAAAUAUUAAAAUAUUAAUAUUUAAUAAGAUGUUGGGUGAAACAUGUGUCAAAUUUUUUCUUCUUCUUUUUAACCUUUAUUCUAAUAUCUACACGAAGUAUCUAGUUGAAUUGUCCACGUCUCAUUUACACACUUUUCUUUUAGUUUUUUUUAUAUACUUCAUGUUAAACAUCACUACUAUUAGAUAAACAAAAAAUAUUUAAAGAAAAAAGAAAAAGUAAGAGGACUAAAGAAAACUUAUAAUACGAAAGAACUUUAGAAUUUGAAGGUGCUGAAGUGCGAUUGCAAAAUCUAUAUUGUAAUUGCAAGAUCUAUAUGGAAUUUAAUUAAUUGCAUGAUGUUCUUGAAGUUGUCCGGUUGUUGCACUACGGAGAUAGAUCUAUAACAUUUUAAAUUUACUAUAAUAUAUACUAUAAUUAUAAAUCUAGUUUUAAUAUAAAUAAAAAUAUUAAUUAUAAGAUAUUUUUCAAAUGAAAAAAAAUUAUUUAAUAUAAAAAAAUAAACUUAAAAUUGAUUUUAGUUUUUGAAGUUUAAAACACAUAUGCAUAAUUUAACCCUCAACUAUUAUGGGUGGAAUUAUAUUUUAGACAUACCAGAAUAAUUCAAAGAUUAAGAAAGAAAGGUGUAUUUAAAAUGUCAUUAAUAUCAACAGCUAAACAAUGUGGGACUAUAUUGAUUAUACCGAAAGACUCCUUUAAUAUGAGAAAUCAUAAACACAUGUAGAUAACUCAAAAUCCCAAAAACCACAAAUAUAUUUUUCAGCAGAAGUAAUAAAGUGGAAAACCAAUUACCAUGAAGAGAGAAGACAUUAAUAUCUUAAGAGGUAACACAAUGUAGAAGAGAGGGGAGGAUCCUUAGUUAUAAGGAGAGAGUGAGAAAUUUCUUCUCUUUUAGUAGGUUUGGUAAGUUUAAAUAGAAACAAAUUUUAAAGAACAAAAAUAACUAAUUACUAUAUUCACUAAAUUAAAUGUUAUUUUAAAGACUAGAACAAAUUAUUGGUAUCUAAAUUAUUUUUUAUUAUUGAUAAAUAGUUUUUAAAUUUGUAUCUAAUUAGCUACCAAAGUUUUAGAUAUCAACUUUUGAAUCAAAAUAACUGGUAGCUAAAACCUAUAUAGCUAAUUGGAUAUUAAUUUAAAAAUUAUUUAUCAAUAAUAAAAAUUAAUUUAGAUACCAAUAAUUUUUUUAGUCUUUAAAAUAAUAUCUAACUUAGUCAAUAUAACAACUAAUUAUUUUUAUCAUUUAAAAUUAAUGUUUUUAUUAAUAAUUUUUUAGUAAUGAUAAGUUUUUCUUUUAUAUAAAAGCUUGUUAGACAUCAUUAUGCAAUUUGACAUCUUAGUUAAACUCACCUCAAGUAAUAACAAUCAUCUGCCAUCACAUGAAAAAAAAAUAUAUUAUUAUUACAAAAAAGAAAAUACAAAAGUAUGAAGUAAUGAUAAAUUAACUAAUAACUUUUCUAACUAAUUUGACCUUGAUUAUUUCAUUUAUGCUUGAAAAUAUUUUUCACUUGAAAAAUGUGACCUCGUCAAGUCUUGGAUUAUCUAUAGAAAAAGACAUAUAUUUUGACAUUUUAAUUAAUCUUUUAAUUCCUUGAUUAAGUAAUUUAUAUAUUUUAAUUAAAUUAUUUUAUUAAUAUAAGCAUGAGAAGGUUUAAUAAGUUCCUAAAUACUAAUUAUGGUUUAAUAUUUAUUUAUAUGUGAAGGUUUAGAUUCUUAAAUUGUUUAUUUCUAUUCUUUCAACAAGUUAACCUAAAUAUACAAAUAAAACCCACUUGUGUAAAAUUUACAUUAAAUAGAAUUUAAAUUUCUAUAAAAAAAAAUUACCAAUCUAAUUUAUUUAUAAAGAAUAGUAUAAAAUAAGUUUUUCCAUGAAAUUAUAAAUUCUCAAGACAUAUAUAUUUUAUAAAAAAAGGAGGAUUACGAGGACGUAAGCCCCGUUCAGUUAGUCAAAGCUGACCAUGUGAAUGACUGUAAGAUCGGCCAAAUUCUCAGGUUGGAAUUGCAUAGGCUCCACACGUGUCUCAGCCGCAAAUCCCAACUCAAAGAUACCCAUUACAGGGCCUGCAUUUCUGCAGAGGAGGCCCGGGGACUUUCCUGAGCCCAGCAAUUAGCAUGGGCCCAAUCACAUCGCCUCAUAAUCCAGUGGU